This 254-nucleotide ribosomal RNA is filed under the name uncultured bacterium. RNAcentral's name for it is "partial 16S ribosomal RNA". It matches the Rfam family "Bacterial small subunit ribosomal RNA", at positions 524 to 776 of the family's 1533-position model. The record is from RNAcentral.
UACGUAGGUGACAAGCGUUGUCCGGAUUUACUGGGCGUAAAGAGCGCGCAGGCGGUCGUUCAAGUCGAGUGUGAAAGCCCCCGGCUCAACUGGGGAGGGUCACUCGAUACUGAUCGACUCGAAGGCGGGAGAGGGAAGCGGAAUUCCCGGUGUAGUGGUGAAAAUGCGUAGAUAUCGGGAGGAACACCAGUGGCGAAGGCGACUACCUGGCCUGUUCUUGACGCUGAGGCGCGAAAGCUAGGGGAGCAAACGGG